GGGAAGGGAGGAGUGGAAGCUGGUUUGCUAGGGCCACCCAGGGUGGGCUCAGGAAGGGAAGGAAUGUGAUUGAGGUUGGGUGGGACUAGGGAGAGCACAGCCAGUUGUGGGUUUUUCUUGGGACCCAGAAACAUGUGAAUGGAAAUGGAAGCCCCUCUCGCCCAGUGCCAGCAUACACACACUAGGAUCUUUCUUUG
Molecule: long non-coding RNA, 197 nt
Filed under: Microtus ochrogaster (prairie vole)
Lineage: Eukaryota; Metazoa; Chordata; Mammalia; Rodentia; Cricetidae
Description: KCNQ1 overlapping transcript 1 conserved region 2 (ENSMOCG00000008726.1)
Rfam family: KCNQ1 overlapping transcript 1 conserved region 2
Source: RNAcentral